GAUGAACGCUGGCGGCGUGCCUAAUACAUGCAAGUCGAGCGAACAGACGAGGAGCUUGUUCCUCUGACGUUAGCGGCGGACGGGUGAGUAACACGUGGAUAACCUACCUAUAAGACUGGGAUAACUUCGGGAAACCGGAGCUAAUACCGGAUAAUAUAUUGCACCGCAUGGUUCAAUAGUGAAAGACGGUUUUGCUGUCACUUAUAGAUGGAUCCGCGCCGCAUUAGCUAGUUGGUAAGGUAACGGCUUACCAAGGCAACGAUGCGUAGCCGACCUGAGAGGGUGAUCGGCCACACUGGAACUGAGACACGGUCCAGACUCCUACGGGAGGCAGCAGUAGGGAAUCUUCCGCAAUGGGCGAAAGCCUGACGGAGCAACGCCGCGUGAGUGAUGAAGGUCUUCGGAUCGUAAAACUCUGUUAUUAGGGAAGAACAAAUGUGUAAGUAACUAUGCACGUCUUGACGGUACCUAAUCAGAAAGCCACGGCUAACUACGUG
RNAcentral lists this ribosomal RNA (497 nucleotides) under uncultured bacterium. RNAcentral's name for it is "partial 16S ribosomal RNA". It matches the Rfam family "Bacterial small subunit ribosomal RNA", at positions 28 to 507 of the family's 1533-position model. The record is from RNAcentral.